UUUUUUUUUUUUUUUUGGCUUAAAUUACCCAUCUGUUCUUGAAUGUCAUUUAUUUUUUUCCAUAGAGCCCUUAACAUAUUAAUCAUAGUUAUUUUAAAUUCUCUGUCUGAUUAUUCCAAAAUCUGUAUCAUAUUUGAGUCUGAUGCUGAUGCUUAUUUUUUCUCUUCAGGAUGUGUUUUUUGUUGCCUUUUAGCAUACAUUAUAAUUUUUUGUUGAAAACUAGAAAUGAUGUAUCAGUUAAUAAGAACUGAGGAAAUAAAACUUUUAAGAUUUUAUUUAUUUAUUUGACGGAAAGAGAAAGAGAAAGAACACACAAGCAGGGGGAAGGAGAAGCAGGUUCCCCACUGAGCAGGGAGGUGAUGCUGGGCUGGAUCCCAGGAUCCCUGGAUCAUGCAUGAUCUGAGCCGAGGCAGACUCUUGACCAACUGAACCACCCAAGUGUCCCUUAAUAGGACUUUAGUGUGAAAUUUCAUAUUAAUCUGCCUUGUAGUUGGGCUGUUGUUUAAUGAUUGUUAGAGCUGUAAGUCCCAGAGACAUCACAUUCUGCUAGUGUCCUUGUUUUGUCUCCACUGUUGUCUUCGGGCUCCAUUUUUCUCUUAGACAUUUUCUUUUAGAGUUCCCUGAGAAGUCUUCCUGGUAUGGAGCCUGCAUCUUUUAGCUCUUUCAGCAGCAAUCCACUGCUAAUAUGUACCAGAGUUCUGUUGGCAAGGUGAUAAGGUAUGGGUGAUGGGUACGUGUUCUGUAACCUUAUGAUUAAAUUUCAAUCCUUCAAUGGGCUUAUGUCUCUGGGCUAUGACCUUCUCGAGUCUUUCUUAGCUUUUUAUUUCCUCUUAGGUCAUACAAGAAAGCUAGAGUGGGCUGAAAUGGGAGAAACACACUUCCUCCAGGUCAGAUAAGGUUCUAUCUAAUAAAGCCUUUUCUCUUGGAGAGAAGGUCCUUGUUAUAGAGAUCGCUCUAAGUAUAUCUCAUAAUGAUUAUUUCCCCCUUCCCCUACCAGAAUCAGGAGAGGGCUCCUGGCUCCUCAUUGUGAGAACUGGUGGAGAUAAAACCCAAGAAAAUGUAGAGGUGUCCCAAGAUUGCAGCCCUCACAAGUUAUGCACUCAGGCUAGACCACACUCAGGCUCAGCAGUACAUGAAAGUUACCACUAAAUAUCCCUACCGGCUUAUGGCCCCAGCAGCUUCUGUUUCAGGUAAGGAGAUCGUGGCUGUAAUUCUCAAGAUUCCUCUGUCUCUCUAGAGUUGGAGGGUAGCAGUUUGCCCUGUGGCCUCAGAUCUCCCAUGAAUCCAAAAAAAGUCAUUGAUUUUCAGUUGUUCAGUUUUGCCCUUAUUUUGAAGACAGGAGUGACAACUAAAUAAAGUUAAAUAAAAUUUAAAAUUCUGUUUCUCAGUCACACUAGCUAUGUUUCAAGCACUCAAUAACCAUGUGUGGCUAGUAAUUACCAUAUGGGACAGCACAGAUAUAGAACAUUUCCAUCAUCACAGGAAGUUCUAUUAGACAGAACUUGUCUAGACAAAUUUUCUAAAGAAAUCUCAGGAGACAACUAGAAUCACAAGACAAAAUGGGUCAGUAAAGUAAGAUAUUUUAGAGUGAGAUUGUAAACUUUCAUCUCAGGUUCACCUUGAAUAAUCACUAAAUGAUGAAAGAAAAAUCUACAAUAAAAGAUAUUACUAAAAAGCUGAUCAAUAACAGUCCAUGGUAAUCAGGAUAAGACAUGAUCUCUACUUAAUCCUAGCUCUGAGACUUAAGUCAAAAAUCUGAAUUGAGACCCAAGCAUACUCUAAUACCCAAAAAGGCCCAUCCUGAUUGAGAGAUUUUUGUUUCCACACAUAGCUAAAGCCCAACUUGCAUUUUCUGCAAGUGAUCAUCACAUGUGGAUUUAAAGCUGUCUUCAUAUUAUUUUGUAUCUUUUAUACAACUAAUCAACUAAACUUUUAGAUUUGCCUUGUGAUUUUGAGUGCAUAAAAAAUGCCUCAAGAAUAUAUGGUGAUUAAUUUCAAAAGCAUAAAAUCAAAAAAGAAAAA
This 2022-nucleotide long non-coding RNA is filed under the name Canis lupus familiaris (dog). RNAcentral's name for it is "lncRNA (ENSCAFG00845008492.1)". Lineage: Eukaryota; Metazoa; Chordata; Mammalia; Carnivora; Canidae. The record is from RNAcentral.